GAGUACGGUCGCAAGGCUGAAACUUUAAGGAAUUGGCGGGGGAGCACUACAAGGGGUGGAGGCUGCGGUUUAAUUGGAUUCAACGCCGGACAACUCACUGGAAACGACAGCGGAAUGAUAGCCAGGCUGAAGACUCUGCUUGACUAGCUGAGAGGAGGG
RNAcentral lists this ribosomal RNA (159 nucleotides) under uncultured methanogenic archaeon. RNAcentral describes it as "partial 16S ribosomal RNA". It matches the Rfam family "Archaeal small subunit ribosomal RNA", at positions 833 to 991 of the family's 1478-position model. The record is from RNAcentral. Lineage: Archaea; Methanobacteriati; Methanobacteriota.